RNAcentral lists this long non-coding RNA (413 nucleotides) under Lathyrus oleraceus (garden pea). RNAcentral's name for it is "Pisum sativum (pea) long non-coding RNA (PSAT_LNC028414)". Lineage: Eukaryota; Viridiplantae; Streptophyta; Magnoliopsida; Fabales; Fabaceae. The record is from RNAcentral.
ACGAGGCUUCCUCCAUAAGAAAGGGGAAAACUAAUACCUCCUAACGAAAUAGAACGAUUGUGACUUCUCUUGGCUAGCUUCAGGAAAGUUUCUCCAAAUUGUGUUUAGCAAGAAUAUUUGGCGUCCACCGUGGGGCCUCGGUAAAACUUUCUCAAGCCUAAUGUUAUCUUAGAUUUUCGACACCAACAUUAAAUUAUAGGAAUAUGACAAGGGUCAUGUAAUAAUGGUUUUGAUAAAGAUUCGAAAUGCUUAAUGAUGGUCAUGAAGAUUCCGACGAAUUUGAUUUGUCGACCAAGAGUUCUAACUGUGGUCGAAAUUAUAGUCAGACAAAGACCAAAGAGUUUUUGGACUUAGUGAAUUUCAGAAUUUCCAAGAUAUUUCCUACGUAGUCGAAUACGGUGUGAAUGAAUAAG